ACCGUGGACAUCCGACAUACGGCAAUUUUGUAUUUGUUGUACCCUAUAUUAGAUAAAAUUCAUGUUGUGUCCCUACACUAACUGAUUUGUGUUGUUUAGGAAGGACUACGUAGGUAACUUCGCAAUCCACCGUCACCGCUGUAUUUUGCUCCUCUUUAUCAUAAUAACCAUAAUUUUGCUAUGCUUUACCAUGUUGCUUUCUACAAAUUCGCCCAUCUUCUCCUUCUUUCUCGCUUAACCCUUGUGUUUUUUACGGUGCUUUUUUGCUUUCAUAAAUUGAAUCCCGAUUUCUGGAAUAUAAAGAAAUAUAUUUGGCUGGAAAUUAGGUUUUUGCUGAAUUUUUCACAGUUUCACAUUUGCUCCGCCAAGAUAGUCAUAUGUCUGAAAGGUUAGUUAUUCUAUUGAUCUUCUCCUUCAUAUGGGUGACUGAUUAUUUUGUUUCCGGGUUCUUCUUGGUUUGUUGUUCAAAUUUUGUUGCUUGUGAAACUCAAAGAACUACUUGAAAAGAAACUAGGGUUUCCGCCAAUUACCCGACAAUUUUUUAUCUUUUUUUUAUAUUUGGAGGUUUUAUCAUUUUUAAAUUGGGGAUUUCAGAAUACAUGAGCCUCUGACUUUCUUAUAUUUGGGCCAUAAUUCUAAGUUUCAUCUUGUUCAUCCUGUUUCUUUCUUGCUGCAUCUUCAGAUUUCGUUUUAUCUCAAGUUUAUCCAUUUCGACAUCAACGAUUAAUUGAAGGUCUUUGUGUAAGAAACCUGGGUCACCGACUUGAACGAUAUUUCUUACUUUUAUCAAUCUGCUUUGUUCAUGCCUUACUUCGGGUUUAAAAUCAAUUGUCUGCUAGAUCUCAAAUUUUUUCUUUUGGUCAACUUUGUUUUCAGUUGGCCUACUAUGCGUUUGUUAAAUUGCCAACUCCAAUUACUUACCAUUCCAAGGUAAAUACUUGUUUGGUAUUACUGGGGUUAUUGGGUGUUAAUAGUGAAUUUGGCAGUGCAGGCGAAUUUGCUAUGAAUGGCUUAAUUGAAGGUGUUCGUUAGUCAUAAUUUUUUUUUUUUUUAUCAUGGCAUGAUAAGUAAAAGAACUUGUGAAUGAAUUAUGGAGAAAAAAAUUGACGAAUCAGAAUCCGAACUCAACGUAGAUAGAAGAAUUCUUUCGUCAUAUGGUGUGCUGCUAUGCCAGACAUUAGAUCCUUUAUAUUGAGGAAAAAGCCAAUGAGGCAAUAUCCAUGUCAAAAAGAAAUUGACUGGAACCAUUGCAAAUUUGAAAUAAGAAACUCUUCCCUAUAUUUUCAAGGUUUUUGUUCAAGAUUUGCAGGCAGAUCGAUAAUUUUGUCAUAAAAUAUUCAUGUUAAUAAAGUAUUGACAUGUACAAUUAUUGAAUCUCAAUUAUUCUAUGAAUCUGCGAUUUGCUUUUGCUACGACGUGCCCGUUUCUCUUAACACUAUAACUGGCUACCCAUUUAAAUAUUUUUGAUCAGUUUGAACUCAAAACGAAUUUGAUAUUCUUUUGUAGCCCGAGAAAAACUGGAAGAAUUGAAAUUGAUGUUCGAUUCGCUAGCUGCACAAUUUCUCCUUCUGUUUUUAAGGUAAUUUUUGUCAAAUUUUCAGCUUGUUCCCGAUGAAAUCACGAAUUGGAUAUUUAUAGAUAUAGGGUUAUAUCAGAAUUGAAGGGUCGUUGGGUGAUAGAAUUUUCUAUUUGGUCACCCAUAACGUAAGGAUCAAAAACUUACAUUUGAAAACCAUGUGUCUACUCCAAUUUUAAGCUGCUUCAUUUAUCAGCUUUGUUCUCUGUCAACUUAUUUGGUAGUUAAUUGGGUCUUAUCAAAAGGAAGCUAUGACAAAUAAUUAGUUAUGCUUCAUUUGCAGAAAUAUAUGUGCUUUACCUCUUCAUCUUAUAUCUUGUGGAAUGGUGAUAAAAAAUACAGGGAACUAAGUUUUGUAGGAGUGCUGCUCAAAAUUUUUUUGGGCUUUGGCAUAUUUAUCUGAUAUUUAACUUCUUUUACUAUUUUUGUAUUGGACUAAUAGUUUUGUAGGAGUGCUGCUCAAAACUUUUUGGGCUUUGGCAUAUUUAUAUGAUAUUUAACUUCUUUUACUAUUUUUGUAUUGGACUAAUUUUUUAAUUUAGUUUUUGUCUGUCUAAAAGAUCAAGUUGGUAUCUAAAAACACGUAGGCUGAAAACAUAAAAAGAGAACAACUUGAUAGACAAAAACACGUCAUCAGCGCUUACGCGCCGCAAGCGGGCUUAGACGAGGAGGCUAAGAGGCGCUUUUGGGAGGACUUGGAUGAUCUAGUGAGUAGUAUUCCCCAAUCAACAUUUCCACUAUAUUAGAAGUUGAACUUGUGGCUAUCAGAUAUUAUGGGAUUGUCCAAGAAAGAUGUUGUGAUGGAUGAGGUAAAACCAAAAUAAAAUUUUGGACAGAAUCCCAUAAUAUACUGUAUUGAAUCAGCUGAAAAAUAUAUCUCUUCAACACGGAUAAUCGAAUAAUAUAUUUAGCUAAGUUAUGAACUUACAAGAUAGUCUAUCGCAUUUAAAAAAAUAAUGAAACAAAAAAAGAAUCUGAAUACCUUGGUUCAUGCUUUGUUCUCUGCUUUGGAUCUCUGCAUUACAGAUAACUUUGUACUUUUUCACCUUUUUAAUUGGUAAUGUUCUUUACUAUAAAUUUCCACGCUUUAGUGAUGAUCAUUAUCUGCUGAAUCUUAUUCAGUUUCUUAUUAAUGUAUUAUUGUGUGUAUAACUUUGAUAGCAACUGAUUCUUCUGAGUACUGAGGCUAUUUUAGUUUGGAAGGAUCUAUAUUACGAGAUCAUGGUUAUCUACUGAGAAUAUGUUGCAUCUUUGACUUUAUUUUAUAUUGUUGUUGAUAAAUAAAAAAAUAAACCCAAGUAAUGUAGAAUUAACAAUCAAGUUUGUCUCAGUUGAACUUUCAAAGCUAUUGUAACUGCAAUUUACAAUUCAAUCUGGAAAGAAGAAAACAGAACGUUAAAGUGAAAAAUUAUGAGUAAGAUACGUCAAUACUGUUUUCUCCUUCCUACUCCAAGAGAGAAGAUGAAGCUAGUGUUAGAACAGAUAAUACGUUUGACUAAAAAAUACAAUUUGUCUUUCUAGUGGUAGUAAAAUGAGCAAAAUUGUACAUAAGUAGUAAGUUAAUGAGAAUAUGAGAUGAUCAGAAUAAUAGUUUAGUUUAUGUCGUUAUCUACCUGCCUAACUUCUAACAUCUGAACACACUUUUCUGACUUAUAAUCUGCUUAUCCCGAAUACAUAUGUUGCACCUAUGAUACUACUAUUAGCUGUUGUGUCCCAAAGUUUUGCCAUAUUGAUGUGAAUUACAAUAUCUAAUUUUCAGAACAAGAGUUUCUUUUCCUUAUGUUGGAAUACAGGAGAGUGGAGAUCUAUUGGAACUAGAUUUGGUAUAUUAUACCUUUUCCAGAUGUCCUCGAGAUGGUGCAAAUACGUGUAGCUUUUGAAUUUCCAUGGUUAAGUCUGUUGGCAUUGUAAAGUGAAUUGUAGAAUGUAAAUGAUGAAUUAAAUAUGUUGGAAUUUUUUCUCUAUUGUACAAGGUCGCCCCCAAUAUUAUUGUUCAGCCAUAGGAAUAUCUAUAUCCAUCGUGGUAUUAGCAGAAUCUUACUGCUUGAGCGGGUAACAACACCCUAUAACCUCAAGCCCGGGCCAAUUCCAUCUAGUAUAUAUAUGUAUGUAUGUGUGUGUAUACACUUCAGUAAUUGGAUAUACAAUUAGGGAAAUAUUAAU
This 3739-nucleotide long non-coding RNA is filed under the name Nicotiana benthamiana. RNAcentral describes it as "long non-coding RNA (NBEN_LNC025680)". Lineage: Eukaryota; Viridiplantae; Streptophyta; Magnoliopsida; Solanales; Solanaceae. The record is from RNAcentral.